GAGGGUACAGCUCAAGUAGCAGAGCACAUGCUUAGCAUGCACAGGGUCCUGGGUUCAAUUCCCAGUGCCUCCU
RNAcentral lists this transfer RNA (73 nucleotides) under Camelus bactrianus (Bactrian camel). It matches the Rfam family "tRNA". From Rfam's summary of the family: Transfer RNA (tRNA) molecules are approximately 80 nucleotides in length. Their secondary structure includes four short double-helical elements and three loops (D, anti-codon, and T loops). The record is from Rfam by way of RNAcentral. Lineage: Eukaryota; Metazoa; Chordata; Mammalia; Artiodactyla; Camelidae. RNAcentral also lists the same sequence under 2 other names.